This 468-nucleotide ribosomal RNA is filed under the name uncultured bacterium. Its description in RNAcentral is "partial 16S ribosomal RNA". It matches the Rfam family "Bacterial small subunit ribosomal RNA", at positions 28 to 507 of the family's 1533-position model. The record is from RNAcentral.
GACGAACGCUGGCGGCGUGCUUAACACAUGCAAGUCGAACGGACAGGCCCUGCUUUUGUGGGGUGCUCGAGUGGCGAACGGGUGAGUAACACGUGAGUAACCUGCCCUUGACUUUGGGAUAACUUUAGGGAACUGGGGCUAAUACCGGGUAGGAGCUCCUGCUGCGUGGUGGGGGUUGGAAAGUUUCGGCGGUUGUGGAUGGACUAGCGGCUUAUCAGCUUGUUGGUCGGGUAGUGGAUUACCAAGGGUUUGACGGGUAGCCGGCGUUGGAGCGUGGCCGGCCACCAUGGGACUGAGAUACGGCCCAGACGCCUACGGUAGGCAGCAGGGGGAAAUAUUGCACAAUGGGCGGAAGCCAGAUGCAGCAACGCCGCGUGCGGGAUGACGGCCUUCGGGUUGUAAACCGCUUUCGCCUGUGACGAAGCGUGAGUGACGGUAAUGGGUAAAGAAGCACCGGCUAACUACGUG